GGGGCUGUGGUUCAGUGGUAGGGUGCUUGCUUUGCAUGCAAGAGGACCUAGGUUCAGCUCCC
This 62-nucleotide transfer RNA is filed under the name Neotoma lepida (desert woodrat). It matches the Rfam family "tRNA", at positions 1 to 61 of the family's 71-position model. Rfam says of the family: Transfer RNA (tRNA) molecules are approximately 80 nucleotides in length. The record is from Rfam by way of RNAcentral. Lineage: Eukaryota; Metazoa; Chordata; Mammalia; Rodentia; Cricetidae.